RNAcentral lists this ribosomal RNA (552 nucleotides) under Curvularia lunata. RNAcentral describes it as "eukaryotic LSU rRNA". The stretch from base 172 to 325 matches the Rfam family "5.8S ribosomal RNA". Lineage: Eukaryota; Fungi; Ascomycota; Dothideomycetes; Pleosporales; Pleosporaceae. The record is from RNAcentral.
UGUACGCGGCUGUGCUCUCGGGCCAGUUUUGCGGAGGCUGAAUUAUUUAUUACCCUUGUCUUUUGCGCACUUGUUGUUUCCUGGGCGGGUUCGCCCGCCACCAGGACCACAUCAUAAACCUUUUUUAUGCAGUUGCAAUCAGCGUCAGUAUAACAAAUGUAAAUCAUUUACAACUUUCAACAACGGAUCUCUUGGUUCUGGCAUCGAUGAAGAACGCAGCGAAAUGCGAUACGUAGUGUGAAUUGCAGAAUUCAGUGAAUCAUCGAAUCUUUGAACGCACAUUGCGCCCUUUGGUAUUCCAAAGGGCAUGCCUGUUCGAGCGUCAUUUGUACCCUCAAGCUUUGCUUGGUGUUGGGCGUUUUUUGUCUUUGGUUGCCAAAGACUCGCCUUAAAAGGAUUGGCAGCCGGCCUACUGGUUUCGCAGCGCAGCACAUUUUUGCGCUUGCAAUCAGCAUAAGAGGACGGCAAUCCAUCAAGACUCCUUCUCACGUUUGACCUCGGAUCAGGUAGGGAUACCCGCUGAACUUAAGCAUAUCAAUAAGCGGAGGAAAA